GGCUCAGGAUGAACGCUAGCUACAGGCUUAACACAUGCAAGUCGCGGGGCAGCAUGUCGGUUGCUUGCAACCGAUGAUGGCGACCGGCGCACGGGUGAGUAACGCGUAUCCAACCUGCCCUUCACCACGGAAUAAUCCAGUGAAAAUUGGUCUAAUACCGUAUGAGGUCAUACGAUGGCAUCAGAAUAUGACGAAAGGUUUUGGCGGUGAAGGAUGGGGAUGCGUCUGAUUAGCUUGUUGGUGAGGUAACGGCUCACCAAGGCGACGAUCAGUAGGGGUUCUGAGAGGAAGGUCCCCCACAUUGGAACUGAGACACGGUCCAAACUCCUACGGGAGGCAGCAGUGAGGAAUAUUGGUCAAUGGGCGCAAGCCUGAACCAGCCAAGUAGCGUGAGGGAAGACUGCCCUACGGGUUGUAAACCUCUUUGUUUGGGAAUAAAGUGCGGGACGCGUCCCGCAUUGCAUGUACCAUUUGAAUAAGGACCGGCUAAUUCCGUG
This 497-nucleotide ribosomal RNA is filed under the name uncultured bacterium. Its description in RNAcentral is "bacterial SSU rRNA". It matches the Rfam family "Bacterial small subunit ribosomal RNA", at positions 21 to 507 of the family's 1533-position model. The record is from RNAcentral.